GGACACAUUUAUUUACCUCUUAAAAAUAAAUGAAAAAUCAGAAACAAAAGGCCUCUAUAUUUAAGGUACUUAGCCAAAAAAAAAAAAAACUCCUUAAGCGAUAACUUUACUCUCUCAAAGUCAUGAAAUCCCCAAAUCUUCUUUUAUCAAAACCUAAGUGAUACGGUAAGCUAUCGAUAACACAGAAUUCGUCGCACGAAUUCUCCAUUGUCGGAGGAGAGACCUAAUAUCAGCCUUAGGUCUCUCGUCUAUGAGUUCUUGUGCAGCAGAGAAGUGUGGUAUCUUUGAUAUAUGUAGUUCGUCCGUUGCUAGGAUUGAGUUUGUUCUUUUUCUCUGUGCCCAAUUUCAAAAUUAGAAUCUCUUGCCAAAGCAUCAAGAUGUGGUGAGUCAACUUAUCCUUUUCAAAAAGGAGUAUAUCUGUCAGUCACUAAAGAAGAAAUCUUCAACCCCGCCCUGAUUCCACCUCUACGCUCUCCACCAUUUCACCAUGUGAUUAUUGGAGAGGGAGCUAACUUUGCCGCUUAUGCAUAGGCCCCGACAAUACUUGUGCACACCUAGGGGCUUUAAGUAUGAUUGCCAGGUACGUCGUUAUGUAGUGCAUUUUUUAUAUUUUUGUUAUCAUUUUUACUCAUUACAUCUUAUAGAUCCUUGUUAUUUAAUACAUCUUAUAGAUUACUCAAUGUUUGAGGAAGUAUAAACAAACGACAAAUUCGAAUGAAAUGAUACUUAGUUGUCAAUGUCUGUUUGUUUCUUUAGGUCAGAUUUAUACUUUGGGGCCACAUUUAGAAGUCUAGCCUAAAGAUGGGAUUCUUAAGAGCCAUAUUCAAUGGUUUGACCAGUUUGGGGUCUUAAUCUUGUUUUAUGUUUCUGUAUCUGAUUGAGCAACUUAAAAAUUCAUCUGUACUCUGAUUUUAUUAUUGAGAUCUCGUCCAUUAAUCUGAAGCUACAUUUUCAACUAUACAACAACAACAUAUCCAGUGAAACCCCACAUAGUGGGGUUUGAGGAGGAUAGAUAGUUGGAAAAUAUUAUAUUUCUUAGAACUUUGCUUUAAAUACUCUAGCUCAUGUUAAACAUGUUGGUUGAAAUUUUGAUCUUCCUUCUUAUGGAAAUUGAACUUUAUGCAACUUAAAGGUUGGAGCGCCAUUUUGUGAGCAUUUGCUUCCAUGGCUGAAUUUAACGUUUGCUGGAAGCUAGUAGCUGCUAUAUUUAUAAUUUACUUCAUUUAUAUUCAUCCAAACAGUGAGCAGCUAAGGUUGAACUUGUUUCUUAUAUCAUUUUUAUGAGAAAUGACUAAAUUUCUCAGUACUGCUUUGUUUUAUAUGCUUUAAAGCUCUAUCUCAAAGGACUUACCGUUAAAGAAAGUGCAAUUGUUGUUUUGAUGAUGGAAAAAGCCUUAUUCAAGAUCGAUAAAAGAGCAAUUUUCGACCAGAUGGAAAAAGUCUUAUUGUUGUUAACUCUUGUUACUUUUAUUUGUUUCCAGUUUAAUUUUUGUGAUUCCUUGUUUGGUACCAGAAAGAGUUCAUAGUCUCACUUGGUUUGGUGGAAGGUUAAAAGAAUUACCAUCUACAGUAUGAGAAUGGAAAUCUUUUAGUUAGGAACAUAUAUUACAUGAAGAAUAGCAGCGAGCUCUUAUUUUUCUAACUUCGCCAGUGUAAUCUAUAGAAAUUGAGAGAAGUCCAGUUGCGUGUUUCUCUUUAAAUGGGAAACGACGCCUUAAAUUCAAACACUUCUAUUAUUCUUGUCAGUUAUCACGGUUAUUCUGUAAGUUGUGGUUCUUUAAAAUAUAUUUUUGGAUCUUGGUUAAUGCGUCGCAAAGCUUUUCUAAUCAAUUUUCUUAAUUUUCCAGCAGCAUUGUUGAUGUUGUUGGAUAACACCUCAUGAAUUUAGACUUCUUUUGGGAUUUUGAAGAUUGAAGUUACAAGUCAAGAUGAAGUUUAGAAAAUGCACAAGCUCAUUAUUAAUUUUCUAGGAAUGUAUUGCAAAACAUGAUAUCAUAGUCUAGCUCGGGAUGUUAGCUUAGUUCUUUUGUUUAGGUGUUGAGCACAUAUUGAAACUAACAUCAUGGGAUGUUAACCAUUUUAUUGUAAUUAAUAACUCGUCUUUCUGUCCAUAUAAAACUUUUUUAUAUCUAGAUUUUUCAGUAGCAA
Long non-coding RNA from Lycium barbarum (goji berry), 2148 nucleotides. RefSeq lists it as uncharacterized. The record is from RefSeq and is a predicted model, not a curated record. NCBI's taxonomy places the organism in Eukaryota, Viridiplantae, Streptophyta, Magnoliopsida, Solanales, Solanaceae. The transcript has 3 exons.